Molecule: ribosomal RNA, 117 nt
Filed under: Clostridiales bacterium
Lineage: Bacteria; Bacillati; Bacillota; Clostridia; Eubacteriales
Also listed under: 1 other name
Source: RNAcentral
CUUAGCGGCGAUGACGCAAAGGAAACACCCGUACCCAUACCGAACACGGCAGUUAAGCUUUGUAGUGCCGAAAAUACUUGGCUGGCGACGGCCCGGGAACAUAGGAAGCUGCUAAGA